CAUUUGUUGAACCCAAAAGAACCUAUAAAAGAAUUUCUUGUAAUAACGGCGGCUUUUUGGUCUUCACAGUCACUAAGCAUCUCUAUGUUCUAUCCACGCUAACACAGUUGAGUUGAAACCUCUUCUUCCACCAAAACCCUACAUUUCAUUACAAUCCAUUGAUUGUGCCAAUAACCAUGUUCAAAGCAUUGCUACACCCCAAUGAUUCAGCCAUAUCAACAACCUCAAGAAUACUCUGCAACUUGCAUUUCCCAUUCUCCCACAAAUUCCUCACCACCACCACCACCACCACUUCAAACCCACACUCACCCUCAUUCGCUGUCUCCUACUUCAUCAACAAUCUCAAAUUCUCAUCAGAAUCCGCUCUCAAAGCUUCCAAGCUUGUUCAUUUCAAAACCUCAAAAAAACCCGAUUCAGUUCUCAGCUUCUUCAGAACCCACGGUUUCACCGAUUCAGAUAUACACAAAAUCAUCCGAAGAGAACCAUGGCUUCUUUCCUGCGACACCCAGAAAAGGGUUCUCCCAAAGUUUCAAUUUUUACUCUCCAAAGGCGCUUCUACCUCUGACGUUGUUCGCAUCGUUGUAGGUAACCCUAGAUUCAUGAAAUCAAGCUUGAAUAACCGUGUUAUCCCUAUUUACAAUUUGGUAACUCAAUAUCUUCAAUCCGAUCAAAAGACUAUUGCUUCCAUAAUUGCAUGCCCUUCUUUACUUUGUAGUGAUUAUCUAGCUCCUAAUAUUAAUAUGAUGGCUGAGAAUGGUGUUUGCUAUUCUAGCAUUUAUAGAAUUCUUCGAACUAGACCUAAUGUUAUCUUUUGUAGACUUAGAGAGUUAGAAGAGACGGUGAAGGAAUUGAAAAACAUGGGAUUUGAUCCUUCUAAAUCAUACUUUGGCGAUGCAUUGCUCGGCAAAAUAGGUUUAAGUAAAUCAAAAUGGAAUGAGAGAAUUGAUACGUUCAAGAGUUGGGGUUGGUCUGAGGAAACUGUUUUGGAAGCUAUUAAGAGGCAGCCGAAAUGUAUGUUAGCAUCGAACGACAAAAUCAAUAGGGUGAUGAGUUUUUGGGUUAAUGAGAUGGAUUGGGAUUCUUCUUACUUAGUCAAGGGACCAGGGAUGUUUGGUUAUUGUUUGGAGAAAAGGAUCAUUCCAAGAGCUAUGGUUAUUUUCUAUCUUCUAGCUAAGGGCUUGAGAAGUGAAAAAGCUAGCUUGCUUUCUCCAUUUUAUGUAUCUGAGAAAUUGUUUUUGGAACGGUAUGUGUUAUGUUUUAAAGAAGAGGAAAGUUCGCAUCUAUUGAAGUUAUAUCAUGCAAUGAUGAAGUUGGGAGAUAAGAAGGCAAGAGACAUAGAAGAAUCAUGAAAAGUUAGUUACAUCUGUAAAAUGUUUGAUUGUAGAGAAGCUCUUCAUUGUCACAAGUAAUUUCAGACUGAACAACUUGGACAUCUAAAGACUUAUCGUAGACAAUAUCAGAUAGCAUAAGAUGUAGUUAUCUCUAUGGUUGAAGAUAAAAUGAAGAAAAACAGACAGUUUGUAAGGUGUGCAAAGCAGAUGUUUGGCUCCAGUUUGUCUAAGCCUUGCAUAACUUGUCGCCCUAAAAUUUUCAUGGAAACUAUCCUGGACCUAUAGAUCUGGAGUGCACUUGUGCAUUGUCUAGAUAGACAGUCAUUGUGAAAGCUUAAAGAUGAUUGACACAUAACAAAUGCACAAUUAUUGAAACAUGCUUGGAUUAUUUAUUUUGUUUGAAAAAAAAUUAAAGCUGUCCUAAUAUCAUUUUGAUUAUAACUUUAUAAGUCAUUUUGAUGUUAAAUAUGUAAUUCAUACAUUACACAUGUCUUUACACGAUGAUCUCAAGUAUUUUCUUAAUUAUCGA
This is an RNA transcript of Lathyrus oleraceus (garden pea), 1860 nucleotides long. RefSeq lists it as uncharacterized. The record is from RefSeq and is a predicted model, not a curated record. The transcript is spliced from 2 exons. Lineage: Eukaryota; Viridiplantae; Streptophyta; Magnoliopsida; Fabales; Fabaceae.